RNAcentral lists this ribosomal RNA (254 nucleotides) under uncultured bacterium. RNAcentral describes it as "partial 16S ribosomal RNA". It matches the Rfam family "Bacterial small subunit ribosomal RNA", at positions 524 to 776 of the family's 1533-position model. The record is from RNAcentral.
UACGUAGGGUGCAGGCGUUAAUCGGAAUUACUGGGCGUAAAGGGCGCGUAGGCGGUCAGCACAAGUCAGUUGUGAAAUCUCCGGGCUUAACCCGGAAAGGUCAACUGAUACUGUGCGACUAGAGUGCGGAAGGGGCAACUGGAAUUCUCGGUGUAGCGGUGAAAUGCGUAGAUAUCGAGAGGAACACCUGCGGCGAAGGCGGGUUGCUGGGCCGACACUGACGCUGAUGCGCGAAAGCCAGGGGAGCGAACGGG